UCCUACGGGACGCAGCAGGGAAUAUUGCACAAUGGGGGAAACCCUGAUGCAGCGACGCCGCGUGAGUGAAGAAGUAUUUCGGUAUGUAAAGCUCUAUCAGCAGGGAAGAUAAUGACGGUACCUGACUAAGAAGCCCCGGCUAACUACGUGCCAGCAGCCGCGGUAAUACGUAGGGGGCAAGCGUUAUCCGGAUUUACUGGGUGUAAAGGGUGCGUAGGCGGCGCGGCAAGUCUGAAGUGAAAGGCAGGGGCUUAACCCCUGAACUGCUUUGGAAACUGGCCGGCUGGAGUGCUGGAGAGGCAGGG
Molecule: ribosomal RNA, 305 nt
Filed under: uncultured bacterium
Lineage: Bacteria
Description: bacterial SSU rRNA
Rfam family: Bacterial small subunit ribosomal RNA
Source: RNAcentral